ACAAUCAGUUCCGGUCUAAAAAAAUACAACAACGCGUGGAAUAUUUUAUCUAUAUAAAUAUUUCAUUACAGGUUCAGGAUGGGUUGCAAGUUGAAUUGAAGGCGAUCAUUGACACACUUUAUGUUUAUUGGUAUAUGUUAUGUCUUCCAUCUAGUUAAAGUAUAUUAACGACUAUUUUGUACUCAUGGUAGGCGAAUGUAGAAAAGCAAAUGAAGAUGGCUGGUGUUGUUCGAACCGAUGGGAAGAAUGGGUGAAACUAUGUAGCAAAGGAAAGGAAAAUAAUUGAAAUGACAAUAGAGAAAUGACAAAGCAUUAUGAGGAUGAUAAAUGCGGGAAGCGGCUUCUCGAAGAAUCGAUGAAGAUUUGCAGAUCCCGCAUAUAUUAAGGGGGAGUCUGUAAGUGCACCAAAGUUUGAUAAAUGCUGGAUACUACUGAAGUUUCAACAUUGAAGGACUAAUCUUGUAAUUAUGUGAAAGUGUCACAAGUCAAGUUUGGACAAGGGUUCUUAUACAUAUGAGAACUUGUGGGUUUAGAAUGUCAGUACUUGCAAUCUUUUAUAUGGUGAGUACUUGUGGUUCUCUAAAAGGUGCGAGCUUGUAUUGUCUAGUUAGUGGUGAGUACUUGUGGUUCUCUUAAAUGGUGCGAAUUAGUAUUGUCUAGUUAGUGGUGAGUACUUAUUUGUUAAAUACUGAAGCUUUAUUGUUAGGUCUAUGAUGUCCGAACAUAUGAUUGUAUAUAAGCUUUGUGAUGUAUGCAAUCAUUAGACAUUUAAUGAAACAAUGAUAUUUUGGAGAAAACUUCUUGUGUAAACAAACCCUAGCUUUGUGUUCUUUAUUUAAUCUAUGUGAUUGUUGAUUGUGAAUACUCUGUGUACUCACGAUUCUCUCAUCUUCUACA
Helianthus annuus (common sunflower) is the source of this 897-nucleotide long non-coding RNA. RefSeq lists it as uncharacterized. Lineage: Eukaryota; Viridiplantae; Streptophyta; Magnoliopsida; Asterales; Asteraceae. The transcript is spliced from 3 exons. The record is from RefSeq and is a predicted model, not a curated record.